Juglans regia (Persian walnut) is the source of this 2125-nucleotide RNA transcript. It is a transcript of the gene named adenine DNA glycosylase, with no coding region annotated. Lineage: Eukaryota; Viridiplantae; Streptophyta; Magnoliopsida; Fagales; Juglandaceae. The record is from RefSeq and is a predicted model, not a curated record. The transcript is spliced from 8 exons.
GUUGUUGGUUGCCAAGUUAGGAGAUUGGACUCGCCGAUGGGAAGCUGAUCAGCAUCAUAGUUUCAUACUCAUGCAGAUCAAAGUCUUUUACGACAGGAAGUUGACGACGGCCCAGCACUUUGUUGGACUCACUGAGCGCCACGCAUCGGUCGCUACUUCUGCUUCAAAAUCAAAAAGGGCAAGCGGGUUUUGUAUUUCAAGCAUGGAGGACGAGGAAUAUAAUAAGAAAAGGAAGCAGCAGAAGCAAGGUAAGAAAGCUGUUGUUGUUGAGAGGCCACGACGAGUGGCCAGAGAACGACCGCAUUCACCAACAGAGAAACAAGAAGAAGAUGACAUAGAAGAUAUUGUUAAGUGGAGUUUCAGCGGGGACGAAACCCAGAAAAUUAGGGAAUGUUUGUUGGAGUGGUACGACCUGAACAAGAGGGACCUGCCCUGGCGCUCAAAGAAAUCAGAUUCAUCAUCACCAUCACAACCACAGGAAGAAAGGGCUUAUGGGGUUUGGGUUUCGGAAGUAAUGCUUCAACAGACGAGGGUUCAGACUGUCAUUCAAUACUACAACCGUUGGAUGCACAAAUGGCCAACCCUUCACCUUCUCUCUCAGGCUUCUCUUGAGGAGGUGAAUGAAAUGUGGGCUGGUUUGGGGUACUACCGCCGUGCACGUUUUCUGUUGGAGGGAGCAAAGAUGGUUGUUGCGGGAGGAGGUAGAUUUCCUAAAACAGUUUCUGAACUGCGAAAGAUUCGAGGAAUUGGAGACUAUACUGCUGGGGCUAUUGCUUCAAUAGCAUUUGGGGAGGUAGUGCCGGUGGUUGAUGGGAACGUGAUAAGGGUGAUUACUAGACUAAGGGCUAUUUCUGCAAAUCCAAAAGACUUGGUGACUGUCAAGAAAAUAUGGAAACUAGCAGCUCAACUAGUCGAUCCUAUCCGGCCUGGAGACUUAAAUCAGGCUCUCAUGGAACUUGGUGCAACCGUAUGCACCCCAUUGAACCCAAGCUGCUCUUCAUGUCCUGCAUCCGGACACUGCCAUGCACUGUCAGUCUCUGGACACGAUAGUUUGGUACAGGUGACAGAUUUCCCUGCUAAGGGAGUGAAGGUCAAACAGAGACAUGAUUUUUCCGCCGUAUGUGUGGUGGAACUACUAGGAGGUCAAAAAACAUUGGAGGGAAACCAAAGUGACAGUAGAUUUCUUCUUGUAAAAAGGCCGGAUGAAGGUCUGCUUGCUGGCCUCUGGGAGUUCCCGUCUGUCUUGCUGGAUGGAGAUGCUGGUUUGGCAACUAGAAGAGAAGCAAUUGACCACUUUCUGGAAAAGAAGUUUGGAAUUGAUUCUAAAAAGACCGGCAACAUAGUUGUCAGGAAAGAUGUUGGAGAGUUUGUCCAUAUGUUCACUCACAUUCGUCUAAAAAUUUUUGUGGAAUUGUUGGUAGUUCGUCUAAAAGGGAGGAAAAAUGACUUAUUUGGAAAGCAAGACAAAGAAGCUAUGCAUUGGAAAUGUGUGGAUGGCGAUGCCCUUUCAAGUUUGGGAUUGACAUCUGCUGUGAGAAAGGCAUACAUCAUGGUUCAGAAAUUUAAGCAGGAAAAGUUGUCCAAUAAUUUUACCCCAUCAAGAAAGAGGAACAGAAUGACAUGAACAAAACAACAUAUUCCUGCUUGAACCUGUUCAAGUGACCUAAAUGGGGCGCUUUAUUAAACUAAUUCAACAAGAAAGGCUUCAUGAGACCUAUUCUCUACAUUUAUCUGUCACAGAAGUGCACAUUGGACAUGCAACAAUGCAGAGUAUUGAUUAUUGGUGGGUACUUCCAGCGGAAUACCAUGAUUCGUUGUUUUGUAGUUAUCAUUGGACAUGCAACAAUGCAGAUUAUUGAUGGGUACUACCCGCGGAAUACCAUGAUUCGUUGUUUGUGUUAUCAUUGUUUUGUGAUUAUGAUGAUGAUGCCAUAGGUGGACUAUGGCGUGCUUUUUCCAUAGGUGUUAUAUUUAAUGAAUUGGAAGGCAAUGAACCGUCGGACCCAGAAACAAUCCCAACAAACAGACGUGCAUAUUUAAGUUUUUAACUUGGAGGUGUACCAUAAGAUCGAUAUCAUAGGCGGUUGCUCAUGCCUUCCAAAUUCUGGAGGCAGCAUGUAUUGAA